GAGAGAGACUGGUCUGUGGACUGACUCACAGAGAGAGAUGUUGGAGAAGAAAGAAUCCACGGAGUACAAGGGAGCUGAGAAUCCAAUGAUGCUGAUACCUUUUUGUGCAGGCUGGCCGGCAGACAAGCCUGCUGAUAACACAUUUCAUAUUAAAUUCUAAAUUCUAAAUACCCCAAAGGUGUGACAGGACUUCCUCGGCAAAUGCUGGAUUAGAAUUUACUGAUGCUUGGCAACGAGUAGAUCAGAAAAAGCAAAA
Molecule: long non-coding RNA, 256 nt
Organism: Aplysia californica (California sea hare)
Lineage: Eukaryota; Metazoa; Mollusca; Gastropoda; Aplysiida; Aplysiidae
Exons: 2
Source: RefSeq, a predicted model, not a curated record